RNAcentral lists this ribosomal RNA (181 nucleotides) under uncultured bacterium. RNAcentral's name for it is "partial 16S ribosomal RNA". It matches the Rfam family "Bacterial small subunit ribosomal RNA", at positions 332 to 525 of the family's 1533-position model. The record is from RNAcentral.
UGGGGGCCUACGGGAGGCAGCAGUGGGGAAUAUUGGGCAAUGGAGGAAACUCUGACCCAGCGACGCCGCGUGCGGGAUGAAGGCCUUCGGGUUGUAAACCGCUUUCAGCAGGGAAGAAGCGAAAGUGACGGUACCUGAAGAAGAAGCACCGGCUAACUACGUGCCAGCAGCCGCGGUAAUA